AGCAGCCGCGGUAAUUCCAGCUCCAAUAGCGUAUAUUAAAGUUGUUGCAGUUAAAAAGCUCGUAGUUGAACUUCAGGCCUGGCUGGACGGUCCGCCCUCUGGGUGAGCACUGUCUGUGGUCGGGUCCUACCUUCUGGCGAAGCGGCAUGGCCUUAACCGGCCGUGGCGGGGAACCAGGACUUUUACUGUGAAAAAAUUAGAGUGUUCAAAGCAGGCACGCGCUUGAAUACAUUAGCAUGGAAUAAUGGAAUAGGACAAUGGUUCUAUUUGUUGGUUUCUAGGACCGUUGUAACGAUUAAUAGGGAUAGUUGGGGGCAUUAGUAUUCAAUUGUCAGAGGUGAAAUUCUUGGAUUUAUGAAGACUAACUACUGCGAAAGCAUUUGCCAAGGAUGUUUUCAUUAAUCAAGAACGAAAGUUAGGGAUCGAAGACGAUCAGAUACCGUCGUAGUCUUAACCAUAAACUAUAGACCGACUAGGGAUCGGAUGAUGUUAAUUUUUANGUACUUCAUUCGGCGCCUUA
Molecule: ribosomal RNA, 520 nt
Filed under: uncultured Paraglomus
Lineage: Eukaryota; Fungi; Glomeromycota; Glomeromycetes; Paraglomerales; Paraglomeraceae
Description: bacterial SSU rRNA
Rfam family: Eukaryotic small subunit ribosomal RNA
Source: RNAcentral